Molecule: long non-coding RNA, 2553 nt
Filed under: Gossypium barbadense (sea-island cotton)
Lineage: Eukaryota; Viridiplantae; Streptophyta; Magnoliopsida; Malvales; Malvaceae
Description: long non-coding RNA (GBAR_LNC006636)
Source: RNAcentral
GCUGAUCCCUUUCGCUGUAUGGCGUGCUCGUUUGGGUUGGGCGUCGGCUAAGAGUGCUCGGAGCGUGGAUUAACUCCAAUCUCCUAUCAGGUGUGUAUUUCUCACUACUUUGGCUGUAGGAUGGCUACUUCGGGCCGCGAUGGGCCGAAAGAGGCCAUGUGGGCCCAAUGGGCCUACGGGCCCAAUUGGAUAAGUUGUUUGAUUGUGUAGUAAAUAUUAGACUAGGCUAGGUGAAUCUCAUAUCUGUGGCUAGAUUUGGGCUAAAAGGGCCACACGAGCGUGUGGGCCCAUUUGGGCCGAGAAUAGGCUUUAGGCCCAUUCGUAUUGUUAUCCUUGUUUAGAAUACUUUAGUUUACUAAAAUUACUGAAAUACCCUUAGUUUGUAAAAAUACUGAAAUACCCUCGAUUUGUAAAAUUACUGAAAUACCUUCGACUUGUAAAAUUACCAAAGUUCCCCCGAUUUAUAGAAUUACCGUUUUACCCCCAAUUUACAUAAUUACUGUUUUACCCCCGAUUUACAUAAUUACAGUUUUACCCUUGAUUUACAAAAUUACCGUUUUACCCUCGAUUUAUAGAAUUACCAUUUUACCCUCGAUUUAUAGAAUUACUAUUUUACCCUUGAUUUACAGAAUUACUGUUUUACCCUCGAUUUACAAAAUUACUAAAAUACCCUUGGUUUGUAAAAUUACCAAAAUACCCCUAGUUUGUAAAAUUACCAAAAUACCCUUAGUUUGUGAAAUUACCAAAAUACCCUCAAUUUGUAAAAUUACCAAAAUACCCCUGAUUUACAAAGUUACAGAAAUACUCUUGACUUUCUAAAAAUUAUAGAAAUACCAUUAGUUUACAAGAUUAUUAAAAUACCCUUGGUUUGUAGAUUUACCAAAACACCCUUGAAGGAUGAAAUGACUAAAAUACCCCUAUUAGGUAAAAAGACCGUAAAGCCCCUAUAGGGUAAAGUGACCGUAAUACCCCUGUAUGGUAAAAUGACGAAUAUGCCCUUAUGUUCCUUAUGACUGAUGUGCUUAGGAUUUACAUAUAUUGAUAUUGGAUUAGUUAAGUUUGAGUGACAGGUGGUGGUUAUCGUAGGCGAUUGAUUUUGGAAACGUUUCAACUUCAACCUGUAACAGGUGUGUACUAACCCUCGCAAUAGCUUAGAUUAAUAUUUGCUGAGAAGCAGAAAUGCUAAAAUACCAGUAUUUUGGGAACUUGUAAUGUUGCGUUUGGGUAUAGAUGUGAUAAAUACGAUAAGAUCGGUGUUUGGAUCGAUGGAACAAGUAAGAACUCAAUUUUGUGCACGAUGGUAAGUUGGGCCUUAAUGGUCUAAAAUUGGGCCCAAUGGGCUUUCGAACCCAUUUGGGUAGAAUUGAUAGAAAAUGGAAUUUGGAAAAGUUGCACAUUAACACGGUUAGUAUUGUUGUAAAAUUUGGGUUAAGUAGGCUAAAUCAGCAUUCGUAGGGCCCAUUAGGGGUUUUGGGCCCAAAAGCCCGAAUUUGAUAAAGUGGGUUAAAGAUCAUUAUUUAAACACUCGAAAAUAUUGAUAAUUGUAAUGAACAUGGAAAACCCUGAUAUUCGGUAAAAUUAUGACAAUACCCUUAAAUGUGAAAAAUGACUGUUGUGUCCUUGUGGGCAAGUGACUGACUUGGACUGUGUGGUUGACGAAUUUGAUUGUGAAUAUAUGUUGGUGAUAUGAAUGACUUGAUUGUGAUUGUUUAAUUCAAAUAUGGGCAUGACAUUCUGCAUACAUGACAUGUUGCAUUGGGUUGGGUUUUUAUAUGGAUGGAGGAAGUGCAAAAGGGCUUAUGCCCCAGUUUAUCGAAAAUGGCUUAUGCCCCAGUUUAUUGAAAAGGGCUUAUGCCCCAGUUUACCGAAAAGGGCUUUGCCCCAGUUAUUAAAAAGGCUAGGCCUCCAGAUAUAUGAUAAAGCAGCUAUGCUGCCAGUGGUGUGUUGGUUGGGUGGGUUGAGUUAUUCCCCACAUGGUGUGUUGGUUGGUACGGGUGGAGAGUAGCGGAUGGUGGGUUGAAUAGUCUCCCCAAAUGGGCUUGCAUACAUUCAUUGGUAUUUCAUGUGAUACUGAAAUGGGCUUGCAUACAUCCAUUGACAUUACAUGUGAUAUUGAAAUGGGCCUAUAGGCCAUACCGUUUACAGUAAAGGCUUCAGCCCAGUGAAAUGAUUUAUGAAAAGGCUUUGGCCCAGUGAUAUGAUUUAUGAAAAGGCUUCGGCCCAGUAACCGUUAAACGAAAGGCUUUGGCCCAGUAUAUGUCAAGACUAAAUAGGGCUUUGACCCAGAUUGUACUGAUACUGUGUUUUCACUAUUUGUUUGUUAUUAGGAUUACACACUGAGUUUUCGUAAACUCACCCCGUUUCUAACUGUGCAGGUAAUCCCUAAGCUUAGAUGGUUUGGAGCUACGAGGGACUCGGAGAUGGCCACACUACUGUUUCUGUUUCUUUUAAUUGCAAUAAGUAGCCGAUUUAUUUCUUUAUAAGUUUUAUCUUAUUAAUAUUAUUGUUUGGUUUUGGGUUGUAAUAAGGCCAUUUUAAUUAUUUUUCUGGGAG